Molecule: long non-coding RNA, 542 nt
Organism: Cyprinus carpio carpio
Lineage: Eukaryota; Metazoa; Chordata; Actinopteri; Cypriniformes; Cyprinidae
Source: Ensembl
GGAUUAUUCAGCAUCUCAAGCAGCUGCUUGUGUCUGUUAUCAGCUGCUCUGUGUUUCUCACCAGACACUCGCCCGUGUCCAGGUCACAUGACAGGCUGUGGUUGUUGCAGCGGCAGGGGACACAGGGCCGGAUGAGCGGACGCUUUCUGCCCUUCAUAUUGAGCUCAGACACGGCCUGACGGUAAUAUCCUGGAGCACACUCCUGGAACAGAGAGCAUGAUGGGUUUGUGAGUCUGGAUAAAGGACAGGAACUAUCAGACACAUUCUACAUUCAUCAUGAAGGUUUGGUCUGAGAUCUGUCUGUAGAUGAUGAUGAUGAUGAUGAUGAUGAUGAUGACCUGACAGGAGAGUCCAGCGUAUCCCAGCGGACACUCACAGGUCUCCACCAGCCGCGCCACGUCUCCACCCUGAGGAGCCUCAUCCGCCUCCAGAGCCGUGUCCAUCGAGAUAUUAGAGAUCCUGCAGAGAGUUAACGCUCUUAAUUCACGUCUCACUAAUCUGCAGAACUUCUCUCAGAUGUUAGUCUGGAGCCCUGGAAGGUG